AGCGAACGUUAGCGGCGCGCCUAACACAUGCAAGUCGCACGAGAAAGGGAGCAAUCCCCGGUACAGUGGCGCACGGGUGAGUAACACGUAGAUGACCUUCCCUGGAGGUGGUGGAUAACCUGCCGAAAGGCGGGCUAAUACAGCAUGGGACCACAUGGUUUUGACCGGAGUGGUGAAAGCGGGCCUCUGUUCACAAGCUCGCGCUCUGGGAUGGGUCUGCGUCCCAUCAGCUAGUUGGUGAGGUAAUGGCUCACCAAGGGCAUCGACGGGUAGCUGGUCUGAGAGGAUGACCAGCCACACUGGAACUGAGACACGGUCCAGACUCC
This 326-nucleotide ribosomal RNA is filed under the name uncultured bacterium. Its description in RNAcentral is "bacterial SSU rRNA". It matches the Rfam family "Bacterial small subunit ribosomal RNA", at positions 29 to 339 of the family's 1533-position model. The record is from RNAcentral.